This is a long non-coding RNA of Thunnus maccoyii (southern bluefin tuna), 1226 nucleotides long. RefSeq lists it as uncharacterized. The record is from RefSeq and is a predicted model, not a curated record. NCBI's taxonomy places the organism in Eukaryota, Metazoa, Chordata, Actinopteri, Scombriformes, Scombridae. The transcript is spliced from 3 exons.
UCGUUCUGUUGAGCUGUACUGAAUUAAUUCUGGCAAUAAUUUUCUGUAAUACCGUUUCUGGUCCACAGAGGGAGCUAUUGCUCCAGCAUCGGCUCCUCAUGACAUUGCGCCCACAUUGUACCUCAUACAGAGUUUAUUCUGCAUUAGUACAUCUUCCACGUUUCUUCAAUGGAGAUGAGUUUAUUCCCCACGGUAGGAGGACAACAUCUGGUCCCCCCCCCCGGCACACGUCGUGUUGCCAGCUCGGCUCCCAUGCUACACCUCUGUACAGCUGUGACUCACAAUGCUGUUCCUUAUUCCAAGGGGUCCAGGAGCAGAGGGACUAAUCCCACUUUACCCUCCAGAGAGCAUCACAGGGGGUCUGUCCUCUGUCCCUUGUGGGAUAUACAGCAGAGCCUGCUCCAAAACUGUCAAGUAUCCUUCAACUGAUGUGCCAUGUGACUGUGACCAUGGGAAUAUAGAUUCAAAUUAAUAAAUUGAUUGAUUUAACACACAUUAAAAGGCCCUGAAAACAUAUUCUCUUAAUCAGCUUUUUACUGUGAGGGAUGGGUCCCACAUGGAUUUUGAUUUGCUAAAGUUGGAACAGUUUUGAUAAUCUCACAUGAGAAAUUUGCAUUUGUUUUAUUUGUGCUCUUCUCACCAGUUUGAAGAGGGUGCAGCUAAUUUGGAAAAAAGGUGAGGUCAUGUACUUCUGUGGAAGAAUUUAGCAAGAUCAAAAUCAAAAUGUGAUGACAAAAUGUGUUUGUGUGGUUAAUUGUGUGUGUUAUCACAUCUCUGUGAAUCAUAUCCGAUCAACCCAUAACCACACAGUUGUGACAAAAGAGAUUGUAUCUGGGCGUUAAACCCUUAAGAAAUAAGUGGAAAGUUUUGUCCCUCAAAAUCUAACUUUGAUUGCUGUACAUUUAGUUAUGACUAAUAAUUUCACAAAGAAAGGCUUAAGAUUUGAAACCAUGUUUUCAGGGGCUUUAAAGGGCAUGAGCUAUAUAUGGUCUUGUGUAGAAACUGAUUUUCACUCCCACUGAAUUUCACUCUUACAGUUAUUAAUUUAUUGAGAGAUUCCCAUAAUAAUGAAUACUGAUAUUGAAUGAAUGAAGUGAAAGAAAAUGGCAAUUCAGUCUGACUAUAUCAGGCUGAAACUUCAUACCUAAUCUUAAUGUUGUAAUGACACUUGCAUGUCUGCACAGGAAAUACAGUAUGAAGCUACUGCCAGCAGCUGGUUAGCUUAG